CUUGUUUUUGUCACCCGAAAAACACCAGGAACAACAACAACACCAUAGUGUAGGAAGCAAGAAGAUUAUAAAAGAAGUAGAGGAACAACCCGAGAUUGGAGGAGAAACUAGUUGGGACCAUUAAUCUGAAGUAUAAGAAGGAACUACCUUGAGUUGGGAAAUCAUUAAGGGUUAAAAUGUUUUGCAUGCAGGUUGGGAUGAUCAUGUCUAGGUAAAAGGCAAAGGAAUGGUUAGAGAUUAAUGCAAGGUGUAGGAAGCAAGAAGAUUAUAAAAGAAGUAGAGGAACAACCCCAGAUUGGAGGAGAAACUAGUUGGGACCAUUAAUCUGAAGUAUAAGAAGGAACUACCUUGAGUUGGGAAAUCAUUAAGGGUUAAAAUGUUUUGCAUGCAGGUUGGGAUGAUCAUGUCUAGGUAAAAGGUAAAGGAAUGGUUAGAGAUUAAUGCAAGGUUUGUAUGUGUCAUGGCGAAAACGAUUAAAGAUCGUGUUCUAAGUUGCUCAAGGUGUAAUUUAAGAUUUAUGGAAGCUUGAUAUUUUGGGUUGAUUCUAAAUCGUUAUUAUUAUUUUGCUUUGAUACUAUUAAUUGUUUUGUAAUUAUCGGUAAGUAAUAUUAAGGCUUAAGCUGCUGGUUUGAGUUUAGUUGAUUAAAUAUAGGCUAAGUGUGAUAAGCAAUCAUCUUGUUAUGGGCAGGCUAUUACAGGUGGUAUCAGAGCCAAGGUUGUUUUUGGGUUGCUAUGAUCUUCAUAUCAUGGCAUAUGAAUUGAGAAUCGUGAGCAUGAGUUUUCUCUUUAAAGAGUUGAGUUUUUAAUUUCGAGUGUCGUUUGAGGAAUUCAAUAUGUGUUAUAUUCGGAUGAUAAGUUUUGGGUUUUGUGCUUGUACUUGUACUUAAGGGAAUGAGAAGGGCUUGAAACCAAUGGAUAACCCAAGGAUUAACGUCGAUAAGUUGAAUUGUAAAGCCAAGAAGGUCAUAUGAAUUGAUUUUGAGCUAUGAAGAUAGAAAUUAGUUUCAGUAAAUAAAAAUCUACGGUAGAUCUAUCAUAUCUAAUUUGGUUAUUAAUGUGAAGUAUUACGAACCAGCUCUUUGCGAAUUUAAGUUGGUAUUUCAGAGAAUUAAAUUUAGUAACAAGAAUUGUGGUUUGAAGUUAUUUGAACUUUUAUGUCUUCUUAGUUGAUAAGGGUUAAGUCGUUAAAUGUUGAUGCUCUGAAUUGAAAAGUCAAUAAGGUUGAUUGCGUAGUUGAGAUAUUAGACAUGGAAGCCUUCAGUUAAAAUAUUUUGUUGAGCAUGUCCCAUUGGAGAUACAAAGGUACUGGGAUUUGAUUAAUGAUGAGAGAAAAUGUGAAUCGAUGAUUCAAGUUUAUUGUUAUCCUAUUCAUAUAAGUUGUGAGAAGCUAUGUUUGAAAGUUCGAUUUGAAGGAUCAUUAUCAUAUUUGAGUUGGAGAUGUCUUAUUACAAGAGAUAGAGAUGAAUUAUAUCGAGAUUUUGAAAGAUUGAUUCUAGCCUGAUUUUCAUAGGAUGCAUAUUGUUAUUUGAAGAAAGCGAGCCCUAGUUAUUAUGUAUGGUCUUGAACUAUUUUGCUGAAGUAUGAAAUGCAGACUAGAGGAUUCUUGAUAAUGCGGUUAGAGUAUUGAAUUUGAGAUUCAGAAUGGUGACUUUUGGCUCUUAGAGAUGCCUAUUCGGAAAUAUGGAGUUUUGAAAUUAAAAGAGGCAUUGAGAUACGUGUUUUUGGAUAGUAAAUAAUUUUGUUUGACUUUGUGGUAGUGUUUGUCUAUAACUAAGGUUGGUAGGUGUGAGUGAGGAUUUUGAUUUUCUGUUUGUUUAACUAUUAGAAUUUAAUUAAGUGUAGAUAUAAUGUAAGGUCAUAUUCCAAUUGGGAACUAGUGUAAGCACGCUACAAAGUGUAUGCAUAUUAAUUAUGCUAAAUGAUUAUGUGUAAAUAAUAUGUUUCCUGACAUUAAGGUUUUCCGUAUGAUUUAUGUUUUGUCAUACGUAUCAUAACCUAACAGUGGUAUCACGAGCCUCUUAUUAUUUUCAUAAUCUAAAUUGCAUGAACAUGGUUAAAUUUUACAAAUUUGCAAGGAAUUAAAAGGGGUGAUUAGUUUUCGUAAUUAAUUGCAAAUUGCGUUUAUUUAAUUAUAUGUACGCAGUUUUUCGGCAGAAUAUUCGUUACUCAACCAAAUCGAGUGAUUUUUGUGUCAAUUUCGCAUGUAAAAGGCAUUCUAAAAUUUUGACAAAAUAGUUGGCCGAACCCAGAAUUCCCAAAUUCGAAGCCUAACUAUGAUUUUUCGGAGGUAUAAGUUCUUCGAACGCAAAAGUUUGUAAAUUUAAGAUGUUAAAUUGAAUAUUUGCGAUUCUUGUUGAUAAAUCUUGAGUUUUUUAUUGACCUACAGUAUAUGUUUAACAAUUAUGAAUGCCUAGACUUGUUAAUUAUACAACCUAAUUUGUAAUUAUGAUUAAUUUGUUGAAAUUCGAAUAAUUUAGAAUUGAUUUGUUUUUCAUAAUUAAUUAAUAAUUUAAUUAGGUAUC
Long non-coding RNA from Spinacia oleracea (spinach), 2522 nucleotides. RefSeq lists it as uncharacterized. The record is from RefSeq and is a predicted model, not a curated record. The transcript is spliced from 7 exons. Lineage: Eukaryota; Viridiplantae; Streptophyta; Magnoliopsida; Caryophyllales; Amaranthaceae.